RNAcentral lists this unclassified non-coding RNA (348 nucleotides) under soil metagenome. RNAcentral describes it as "partial contains 5.8S ribosomal RNA, internal transcribed spacer 2, and large subunit ribosomal RNA". The stretch from base 1 to 120 matches the Rfam family "5.8S ribosomal RNA", at positions 35 to 154 of the family's 154-position model. The record is from RNAcentral.
GAUGAAGAACGUAGCGAAAUGCGAUAAGUAAUGUGAAUUGCAGAAUUCAGUGAAUCAUCGAAUCUUUGAACGCACAUUGCGCCCGCCAGUAUUCUGGCGGGCAUGCCUGUCUGAGCGUCAUUUCAACCCUCAUGCCCCUAGGGCGUGGUGUUGGGGAUCGGCCAAAGCCCGCGAGGGACGGCCGGCCCCUAAAUCUAGUGGCGGACCCGUCGUGGCCUCCUCUGCGAAGUAGUGAUAUUCCGCAUCGGAGAGCGACGAGCCCCUGCCGUUAAACCCCCAACUUUCCAAGGUUGACCUCAGAUCAGGUAGGAAUACCCGCUGAACUUAAGCAUAUCAAUAAGCGGAGAA